AGCGAACGCUGGCGGCAGGCUUAACACAUGCAAGUCGAACGCCCCGCAAGGGGAGUGGCAGACGGGUGAGUAACACGUGGGAGCGUACCCUUUGGUUCGGAAUAACUUGGGGAAACUCAAGCUAAUACCGGAUAAGCCCUUAUGGGGAAAGGUUUACUGCCGAAGGAUCGGCCCGCGUCUGAUUAGCUAGUUGGUGAGGUAAUGGCUCACCAAGGCGACGAUCAGUAGCUGGUCUGACAGGAUGAUCAGCCACACUGGGACUGAGACACGGCCCAGACUCCUACGGGAGGCAGCAGUGGGGAAUAUUUGACAAUGGGGGCAACCCUGAUCCAGCCAUGCCGCGUGAGUGAUGAAGGCCUUAGGGUUGUAAAGCUCUUUUACCGGGGACGAUAAUGACUGUACCGGGAGAAUAAGCCCCGGCUAACUUCGUUCCAGCCGCCGCCGUAA
RNAcentral lists this ribosomal RNA (447 nucleotides) under uncultured bacterium. RNAcentral describes it as "partial 16S ribosomal RNA". It matches the Rfam family "Bacterial small subunit ribosomal RNA", at positions 29 to 523 of the family's 1533-position model. The record is from RNAcentral.